Molecule: long non-coding RNA, 5897 nt
Filed under: Malus domestica (apple)
Lineage: Eukaryota; Viridiplantae; Streptophyta; Magnoliopsida; Rosales; Rosaceae
Description: long non-coding RNA (MDOM_LNC017590)
Source: RNAcentral
UAUAUAUAUAUAUUUGGUACGUAUGUAAAUAUUUAUUACUAAAUUAUUUAUAAUUUUUUAAAAUUAUUACUAAUUUGGUUAUUUUAUUUUCUUUAAAUAUUACACUAAUACGUUUAUUUUAUGUUAACAAAAGAAGCCAAAGGUGAACAAGAUCAACUUGGACAAGAAGACUCUUUUCCAUCAUUCUGAUUCGAGGUCCUUCUCCUCUAGGAUAAAGGUGCGACAACAGGUAAUAAAGUGUUUAAUAUUGGCACUUCCAAUUUCUGACAAAUAUAUUUUUUUUUCCACACUAACCUUUUUUUUAUUUUUAUUUUUGUUUCAGGGGGUUCAAAAUUCCCCGAGGUAAACGUCUUUAACGACAUUUAUGUUUGCCCCAGGGAUGAGCUCACCGAGCCACUGCAUGUAAGUAAAAGUUAAUUUUAAAUUAGUAUCUUACGCUUCCAAGUAUUAUAGCAUUUAAUUUAAUAUUAAUUAUUACUAAUCCGAGUUUUAUUGUCAUGGGCAACGAUGGUGGGGAAGAACCAGUCUGUGCUUUAGGAGUCCGCCCGAGGAUGCUGGGUUUCAGAUCCUGACUAAAACCUUGGAUCAGACCCUCAACACAGCCACAAGGCCAAGUCACGGCUUUGAAGCAUUAAGUGGCCAACCUAAGGAGUAAGCUCAAGCUUAUCGUUGAGGCCCUCAACUCGUCUGGCAUCCGUCUCUCACCAGGCAUUGUUGACCUUUUCACCUCCGCGCCCAUCUAUAUAGAGCAGCCCCAAAAUAUGUCGGCCAUCGAACCCCUCCACCCGCAGCAGUCCUAAGACCUGUCGACCUCCAAGCCCAUCUGACAUCUUACCCAGUAGCCCAACUCGUAGCCCUCCUUCCAGCCUGCCCUGUAGCCCACCUUGUUUAAUGACCAAAUAGAUUAUCACUUCCUUUUUUUCUUAGUUUAAAACUUUUGAUUUGUACCUACAUUUAUCUUUGAUUAUAAAUACAUUAUUUUUCAUUCUAUUUAUUAUUGUUACAAUUUAAUUAAAAAAAAUUUAAUUAUUAUUUUAAAUAAAAUAUGUAACCAGAACAAAAAAAAAUUAAUAAAAAUAAAAAAAUUGAACCAUGCAUGAUGGAGACUUCGUCGCGUAAAACCUAAUGCAACAUAAGUUUUUUUGUUGCGCAAUAAUUAUAAUGAUAAUAUUUUAACAAUUUAUUUAUGUUAAAAUUAAUUCAUUUUGUUGCUUUAAUGUUUACUAGACGAAAAAUAUUUGUCGCGCGAAGUUUUAUUCAACGAAGGGCUUGCGUCCCAUUUGUUGUCUUGUAGCGAAAGGCUUAUGUAGCUUUAUUUUUUGCUUGACAAAGUGAUUUAGUCCCCCUAACUUUUGUGCGAUGAAGGAGAGAUUCGUCGCGAACUUUGUUUUUUGGGCGACGAAAUUCAAAAAAUCUUCGCGCAAUGUCAUUUUUCACAACCCUAUCACGACGAACACUGCGUGACGGAAUGCACGUCAUUUAAACAUUACAUAAGACACCACGAAUUUUAGGAGGGAGAAAAAAAAAAAAACCAAAACCUACCACUAAUUAAAUCUUUCAUUCAUGCACCAAAUUCCAUAGCAAAGCUCCAUCUUUUGCUAUGCUUUUUCUCCAUUUUCUUCUGUGUUUCUUGGGUGAGUUUAAAAUGGGUAAGGUUCUUCCUGCACAUAAGGGGAGGUGCGCGGCUCAAGGAUGAAUUCUGCCAGCGCAUGAAUCUAGGCAAACUAGAUUUAAAUCUGGUUGGGUGUGAAGUGUUUUAGUUGGCUUGUAAGGAAAGAUGUAAAGAUUUAUCUCUCACAGCAUUCUCACGCGAGGUUAAAGUUGUGGCUUGAAUUUUGGUGCUCCUAAGCAGCUCAAAAUCUUCACAAAUUAUAAUUCCAAAUAAGCCCAAUGGACUUUUGCAACCGACACACCACAACCCACUCAUCAAUUCCCAUUAUGUGACUUGGGUCCACUUACGAGUGUUAGGUGCUUGGAGUGAUUCGAAUUAAAAUUUUAAUGUAUUAAUAUUACAAGUUUGUUUCUAUAUAGCUUUGCAUAAUGAAUAUGCUUGGUUUUGCAUGAUCUUAGCGUAAUUUCCUGAAUGUCUAAAUUAUCAUUUUUAUUAGCGUGCCAUAAUUGUGAAUUUUCAUAUCCCUCGUUUUGUGCUCUACACAUGAAAUUAAGCUUGGUUUGUGAUGAGUAUAUAAUGAUUAGGCUAUAUAAUUGCUUCCUAGUGAAACUUUUGGACCCAAUAUUAGCCUUCUUGAUUAUUUGGACCUUGAAAGAAUUGACUUAGGCCAAAAAAUAAAAAUAAAAACCUAGCCCAAAACUUAAAACCUCAAACUUGAUGGGACUUUUCAUUCCUGCGCGUGGGAUGACAACAACGUAGUGACUGUUAUUUUUUUCCAGCGUUAAUUCACUCUCCUAAGAAAGCUCUGCAUAUUUUGUUCGAGUGGAGAAUAAUGGCAUCAAUAUUUUCUCUUCUUCCUUCCUAAAACAAAUGAAAUAAAACUUCCUUCCCCUUCUUAUCUUUAUGGUAGCUUAGUGCCACCGAAUUUUUUUUAUUUGUUUUAUCAGCUUGAUUUUGAUAUGGACACUCGGAUGGCCUUUUUUUAUGGGCUUAUUGAUUAUUUGUAAGGAAAAUUAAUGAAAAUAACUUAAAAAUUUUGAGUUUUAACGAUAAGGACAAAAUAAAGGAUAAAGUAAAUAGUACUAUGUUUGACUUUUUAGUGUAAAAAUGUGAUUUUUGUUAAAGUGAACAGUACCGCGAGCUUUUCGUUAAAACUUCCUUAUUUUAAUGCUUGCCGACAUGGUGGGAAAAAGAACAAUGCACAUUUUUUUUUAAUUUUUAUUGUUAUUAGAAUGAAUAGUUCAAAAUUAUUACAAUAAUUUAAGAAAUGGGAGUUCCGAAACUACAACAAUGUGCAUAAGAUGGUACUGAUGAAAAGAAGCUUGUGGCGCUAAGAACCAGGUGCUUGAUGUUUAUAUUUUUUAUUAUUCCAUGAAAUCCUUCCAUUCUAUUGAAAAGCAGAGUCCUUAAAUAGCUUGAAAUUGUUCUUACUAUGAUAUAAAGCGCACGCCUUGCCCGAAGCUCGUUGAGCAUAAAACUCUCUAUUGGUGAGACAUGAUUUAUGACAUUGGCAUGCCUGUUGGCUUUUUGUUUGAGAAAUUGGAUGGGCUGUGCGAUACAAUGUUCGGGUAGGAAGGAUAAAGGCACCUUUGCUCAGUUCAUCAAAGGAAAUGUGUGAAGGAAGCUCAUUGGGAAGCAGCUGACUGCCUAAAGUUGGCUGUUUAUUCUUAUUCAUUUUCAAUGUCUGCUAGCUCUAACAAUAUUUAUAUUUCUUUUGCAAUAUUUUGGACUUUUGCGUUGUAACGACCCGUCCCCAAAUAUUACGGUUUUAUAAUUUUAAAGUGUUAAUUUACAAAAAUAUCAUCUGAGGCGAAAAACGUUGACUUUUGUUGACUGUCUUGUUGUGUCACAUAAGGCUUUUUUUCUUGGUGUAUCCUUGUAGUACUCAUCAUUACGGACGCAUGGGAACGAGCAUAAUCGAAUUUGGAGCUAGAACAGAGAUUUUACGAAAUUCUGAACGAUAAUGGCAUUCCAGUAAUUUUAUGUUCUGCAAGAUAUUUUCCCCGAUUCGUCUUUUCUUGCAUUGUUUAGUGUGCCAGUGGGGCCCACCCCUUUUUUUGCCUCCCGACCCUCUCUCUCUCUCUCUCUCUCUCUCUCUUUCUCCUUCUCUUCUUCCAUCUCUUUUCCUUUCUUCUUCCCGAAAACUCUCCCUCUCUUCUCUCAUCUCUCUCUUCCUUCCUCUGUGACAACCUGUCCCGAUUUAUUUUACAGGUUUUAUGGAACGAAAGGUUAGUUUCGUAAUUUCACUUUGGUUUUAAAGAUAUUUUUGAAAGGGGUUUGUUUUAGACCUUAAAUAGUGUGCCCAAAGGGGCCCACCCCUAAUUUUCUGUCCCCUGGUUCCCUUCUCCCUCACUUUAUUUCCUUCUCUCUUUUCUCCCCCAAGCUCUUAACUCACACUCUCUAUCGGAUCCCUCAGUCCCCUUUUCCCUGAGGACCAACACACUCAUACCAACACUGAUAGGAGCAUAUUUAUGCGACUGAGUUAGCUUGUUCUCAUGCAUUUAUGUUGUUAUUUCUUAGUUAAUUAUGUAUUUUAAGCUAUUUUCGUGUGUUUCCAUAGGCCUUAUAAAGCAAUAAGAUGCAUUUUGGAGCAGUUUUGGGCUUGGAAUGAAUAGCACAUGCAUGGAGCAAGGUGGAUGGACGAAAUUGAAGACUAAAGAGGUUAGGAAUGUGUUAAAGAGAAAGAAUAAUUAAUGUAAAAAGGACAAAGAGCUCAGCCACAAAGGGGUGUCACUCCACCAUUCACCUUUCCAUCAUUGCCAUGCACCACUAUUGCACUCCUUUUGGAUUCCUAUGCCAUGCAUCAUCAUCCAUGUUCCCUCCAUUGACUCAUUUGUUGCAUCAUUUCACUUCAUUUCCUUUGUCUACCAUGUGCACAAUAUCCUUUCACCUCCUUGCACUCAUUGAUUCACCACUUACUCACCUUUCCACCCAUGCCAUGCAUAACCACCCUUGUCCCCUUCAUUAUUUCAGAUUUCAUGCAUCAUUACAUUGAAUCAUUGCACUCAAUUGCUACACCAUUCCUUGUUCCCUCCAUCAUUUCAGAUUUCAUGCAUCAUUACAUUGAAUCAUUACACUCAAUUGCUACACCUCAUUGCACUCAAUUUCUACACCACUCCUUGUUCCCUCCAUCAUUUCAGAUUCAUGCAUCAUUACAUUGAAUCAUUGCACUCAAUUGCUACACCAUUCCUUGUUCCCUUCAUUUUAGAUUUCAUGCAUCAUUGCACUCAAUUGCUACACCACUCCAUGUUCCCCUCCAUUGCCAUGCACUUCCUCUAUAAAAGGAAGUGUGUGUAACAUAAAUUUAGCUUAGUUUUUGCUUGAUCAUUCAUCCCCAUUUCAAUACAACCUUCAUCUAAACACAUCCAUUCAUCUUCACAUCCAUUUCUCCAUACAAACAAACCUUCAAACACUCACCAACACCUUGUGUCGUAGCAAAGGAAGGGAAGGAAAGUGCUUGGAUGUGCUUGCUGUCCAACUUGGAUCGUUGGAGUGUUUGGGUGUUUUCUUUCUUUUGUUUCUAAUGUUUAAAUUCAUUUCCUUUCGUUUUGUUGUAAAUAUAAGUGGCUAAACCCCUCUUGGCUAGGGGUGAUUUCAAAGCCAUGAUUAUGUGUGCAAUAUAAUUUGAUAAAUUCCAGUUAUGAACUCUUGAAUCGUGAAUGCAAUUGGCUUAACUAUUUGAUUGAUAAUUUAUUUGUAUUUUUUAAUUAAGGGUCGACACUUAAUUGGCAUGCAUAAAUCCGUUGCUAGAAUAUAAGGAAGUUUCACAUAAUCGUUACAAACUUAUAUUCACAUGUAGUGAAGGUCGCUUAUAAACGAUCGCGUUAAGUUCAAUUCCUAGCAUAAGCAACAUGAUGUCAUAUUUGCAAGUGCUUUGUCAAUGUUUAUGAUUUUCAUUAAACGUAAUGAUCUUUGAUUGUAUCUCUAUUAUGAUGUCAUGUAGGGAACUUUUGAAGAAUGUUUUGGGUUGUCGAAUGAUGUCAUCCAAUCCAAUAAAACAAGAAAAAUCUGAUAGUUAACUAGUGAUGUCAUGAUUAAUUUGGAGCAUUGUCGUUCAUAAUUCAAUGAAGUAGUAACUGGAAAUCGAGUUAUUUGCAUACAUGUCAUGUGUGGAGAAAAAGCCUCUAUCUAUCCCAUCCAUCAUCUUAUUUCUCAAAAUUAUUUUAAAAUCUGUCUAGUUUUUCAUACUUGUUUGUUUGUUUCAACUUCAUUGAUGCGAAAUAUAUAAGCACACAAAUUAAACCCUCUUUUUGUCAAUUGUAGUAAAGAAUGUAAGUAGGGAUCG